This is a ribosomal RNA of Sinocyclocheilus grahami, 113 nucleotides long. Lineage: Eukaryota; Metazoa; Chordata; Actinopteri; Cypriniformes; Cyprinidae. The record is from Ensembl.
ACAGCCAUAUCACCCUGCAGCCCAAGACUGGUUGCCCAUUGAAGCUAAGCAGGGUUGAGCCUGGUCAGUACCUGGGUGGGAGACCUCCUGGGAAAACUAGGUUGCUGUUUGAA